AGAGUACUGGCCUGAGUCAUGCCUAUUAGUGCAAUAGAAUCCUACUCUAAUGCAUUCUGCUACAAAGAAUCUCUUACACAGUUAGUUUUGCAUAGUUUGUUUUGUUUCGGUAUGUUACUUUGGAAGUGGCUAAUAUUGCGUUGAUUCGAUCACAAUUCCCAGAGUAGAGUGAAAUGUUGAUAGUGUUAACUAAAGGGGAAAACACUAGAAAGCUGAGUCUCGUGCUUCUCUGAAUGGGUUUAUAUUUCUUCUGAGCUGCAGUCUGGGGAGCUGCUCGCCUGCACGGAGCUUAAAUAGAACAUUACUCGUCUCCUUCACUCCCCCCUGCUCUCAUCUCCUAUGCGGAGGAAAGUAGGUUAAAAUCUCAGGGCAUUAUUGGUUUGAACGGCCUAUGAGCUGGCGUCUGAAGACCUCAGCCCUGCUGUUGAAAUCCAGAUUGAGCACCGCCUCGCCCCUUGGCAGGCCAGUGACAUAUGGACUUGGACAUGAUGAACUGUGAGCUUUUGGCAACGUGCAGUGGCCUGGGGUAGCUGGAGGGACCACGAAGAACCCGACUGUCUAGAGGGUGUGAAGGACCUGAUCUGGUACCUGCAGCAUGAGGAUGACACGCGGGACACCAGUCAGCAGCUGGGGGCGGGCUAGAUCUUCCAGAAUGACCUGCUGCCCAUCAUCACCCAGCACAGCCAGGACAAGGCCCUGUUUGGCGCCUGCAUCAGGCUCAUGGUCAACCUUACCCAACCUGCUCUGCUAAAGUCCCAGAUGACCCGACUGUCAGACAUCACUUCCUGCAAGUGGUGUCCUAUUUACAGGUUUACAAGGAGACCUUUACCAAUGAGAAGGUGUUUGGAGUUCUGAGUUAAACCCUGUACAAUCUGCUGCAACUAGACUGGGAGCAGAGGCAGGAGGAGGACAACCUGCUGAUAGAGAGGAUUCUGCUGCUGGUCAGGAAUGUACUGCCUGUCCCCGCUGACCUCUACGAGGAGAAGAACGUGGACGAUGAUGCCAGUGUGCAUGACAAGCUGCUGUGGGCUGAAUGACCUGAUCAAGUUCCUGGCCUCUGCGCAGAGCGAACAGCAGUGAAGCACAGAGGCUUGAGCUCCUGGUGAGUGUGGGUCAGGCUCGUUCAGCUCAGGAGAAACAGAGAGACGCCCUCCAGAGAGGAACAAGACACUCUCGCUUUGGAGGCUCCUAUGUGGUUCAGGGACUCAAGUCAUUCGGGGGUAAAGACAUGAUCUACCACCGAGGCCUCCACAACAUGAGUUUCAAAUUCUGGAGACAUGCCCCAAAGUCUUAUUACCACGGAGCAUUUAAAGCAGAAAUAAACAAUACAGGUGGGUUUUUUUACUAGUUCAAGAACUACACCCACGAUGAAGGCAAGGCGGCGGUGAGACGUGUGCCCAACCGAAAGCUGCACACUAGGGACACGGGAGGGCAUAUGCCACUCAGCCCUAAACGUCUGCCUCUUCCUGCGCGAGUUCUGUGUGGACUUUCUGGAGAACUGCUACAACCGCCUCAUGUACCUGGUCAAGGAGCUGGAACCCUUUGCUAAGUUUGUGCUGAACCGAUUCCUUGCCCUGGUGGCCAAAAACAAGGCCUACGUAGAGCUGCUCUUCUAGAAGCGUGUGGGAGCUGUACGUGAGAUGACAGAAGGCUACAGCAAGCCUGGAGAAGGAGAGGGGUCCAAGAAGAAAGCAAAAUGGAGGCGCUGUGAACACUACAAGGAGCACCGUGACUCUGAAGUGCCACACAUUGUGGAGACUCUGCUGCCGCUGCUUAGCAACACCACCCAUCAGCGUCAGCAAGUGGUGGCUGGUGGAUGGUGUCAAAGACCUGAAGAAACUGAGGAAAGGCACUCAUAUUGUCCUGUGGACAGAGGAACAGGAGAAAGAGCUACAGAUGCUGUUUGAGGAGUUCAGAGACUCGGAUGAUGUGCAGGUAAACGGUCCCGCGCCUGCCUGGUGGAAAAGCUGCUCAGCAUGGGCCUAGUCCACGACCGAUGGGAACUCCACAAGAAGAAGAUGCCGCAACCCUAACGCUCCGGAGAAGAGCUCUAGGAUUGGAAUGGUAUGUCAGGACCCCUGUUGUGGCUACAGAACUGCCUGAACUGAACAGCAGAUGUCCGCGAGGAAGAAGGCUUGUCUCAGCCUAUACCACCUGUCCCUCUGACAGAGGAGAAUGAGGACGCAAUGGAGAAAAGGAGCUUCCAGAGGUUACUACGGAAAAUAGGGGUCCAAGCACAAAUAGGGGUUUGAGUACCAGCCGAUGAGCAGGUGGGAUUUAGGCGGCAACUCAGCUAUGUAAAAAAAAUAUAUAUAUAUAUAUUUUUGUCUUACCCACAUUAAAUUGCAGGACUAAGUCCCAAAAGUAUUUACUUAGUUAAAAGAUGGAAUCCGCAAUAGGGGAAACUGACACUGUCGGCACCAUGGCCAUGAUCGUUUUUUUGUUGUUGAGCGGAGGUGAGUGUCGCAAUGCGCACCUAGUACAUAUUCUGCUGUUCUAUUCCGUGUGUGUUCAUUGAUGUCUGAGAGAAAAAACAGCAUUGUUUGCAGUCACUUUGUUGUUGUAUUAUCACAAACGGAUGUGGCAGUUUCACAAUUAAGGAUUCCGACUUUAAGGCAAGAUACAGCUUAUAUGAGGCACUCAACUUUGAAAAUGUUGCAUUUAUAAAAGACAUUGAAGUGAUGUCUGUAUUUUUCAAAACUUUGGCAGGCUUUCCCAUAGACUACUGUAUAGGUAAUGUGUGUCUAAUGAUCAAUUAGGAGUCGUUCUGGAGGAUCCCAGCCAAGAUGAACCCUUCCCAGUUAAGGGGAUCCCCAACGGCAGGGGGAGAGAGGACGGAGCGGCCAUCCCCAAGGAGCCCCUUCCAGGAGCAGACGCAGGUGGAGGCAGACUCCCAUGAGCAGAGAGCCCAGGCCCUCUGAGGCCUGCUGCUGGCCCACAAGAGACAAUUGUGUUCUGCUGAGGCAGAUGGCUAAGAUUUCACACCUGUUGAGGAUAUAGAUUCAGACACUGCACCUCAGAGAUCUUCAGAGAAUAAGACGACCUCCGGCAAGAGAAGCAGAGUGCUGUUGUUGGACAGCGACGAGGAUGGAGAUACUGUGCUUUAACCUAAUCAUAAUCUAGUCCUGUUAGUUUUACCCACAAACUCAUUUGCCUUUGGCAAGAAUGACAAUGACUGGCGUUUGUUAAAGAAGAAACAGACUGGCUUCCUGGCUACAAAAUGAUUAGUACGACAUGUUUUGCUAACAUUGCUGUCUCCUCUCCUGACAGUGGACUCCCUCACUCUGGAACUCGGGGCUGACAGGGAUGCAGUGACUCAGUCACUCCGCAACUGCCAAGGGCAGACGACAGAGGGUCUUGAUUGACGAUGAGCAAGAUGAUGAUUAGAGAAGUCUUCAGUUUGAUAAUUUGAAUUAUAUACAGCUUUUCCACUUAGGUGCUCAGUGUUUUACAUAGAAAGGGGGAAACUCACCUCAUCCUCCACCAAUCUGAGGAAUCCAGUUGGAGCCAAUAUGAUUGAAGCAUCUUCUUACACAAUGCCUCUACAGGGCUGUAUGGGGACUGAGGAUGGGGAAACCUGGACCUUCACAUACCAAAUAUUUCUGAGAAGGCAGUAAACAAGUCUUAGAGAAAAUCCAGAGAGCGAGAUAGCUCCAGUUUUAUUGGAAACAUGAUGCAUUUGAUGGGCUUGUCAUUAUAUUCUUCAGUCUUUCUCUUCAGUAUUCAGUGUUCUGUAUGUCUUUCAAA
Molecule: long non-coding RNA, 3747 nt
Organism: Oncorhynchus kisutch (coho salmon)
Lineage: Eukaryota; Metazoa; Chordata; Actinopteri; Salmoniformes; Salmonidae
Exons: 20
Source: RefSeq, a predicted model, not a curated record